RNAcentral lists this transfer RNA (58 nucleotides) under Salmo salar (Atlantic salmon). It matches the Rfam family "tRNA", at positions 8 to 63 of the family's 71-position model. From Rfam's summary of the family: Transfer RNA (tRNA) molecules are approximately 80 nucleotides in length. RNAcentral also lists the same sequence under 1 other name. Lineage: Eukaryota; Metazoa; Chordata; Actinopteri; Salmoniformes; Salmonidae. The record is from Rfam by way of RNAcentral.
UGGCUUAGUUGGUAGAGCAUGGUGGUGGCAACACCAGGGUUGUGGGUUCAAUUCCCAC